GGGGGAGGGGCGCUGUUCCCGGCCCUGCCCCCCUUCCGGGGCCGGGGGGGGCUCGGGGGGCUCCUGGCCCGGCUGCGGGGGAGGGUCCUGGCGGCCGCGCGCUCCCAGUUAUCCCACAGCCUGCUGACCGAGCGGAACUGGUUCCAUUACGCCGCCCGCAUCUGGGACGGGGUGAAGAAAUCCUCGGCCCUGGCCGAGUACGGCCGCUUACUGGGCUGAACUGGGAGCACUGGGAGCCGCCCCCCGCGCCAAUAAACCGCCAAAACCGCCUCGUCUCGCUCUUAAUUAACGCCGGAUGUUAAUUAAUUACCGCCUCGAGGGUUAAUUAGGUGUAAUUCCCCUCAUGGGGGUUUAAUUACCUUGGCUCCGCCCCCUUUCCCCUCACGGCUUCCCGCGAUUGGAAAAGGGCGGGAAGAAACCCCGCGUGACCAUAGAGGCGGGAGGACUUGCGGGGUAGAGCGCCUCCGCGCGCAUGCGCAGAAAUAGAGAAUACUAAGUCAAACCAUAGAGUUCGGGGGGCGUUUGGCAGAGCGCCUCCCACAGGGCCGCUCUGAGGCGGCUUCCGGCGGAGCUCUGAGGGGGCUUCCGGCGCAGCCGUGAGGCGGGAGCGGCCAUGGCGGAGAUCCCCUUCACGCGGGUGGUGUCGGUGACCAGCGCGGACCCGCGUCACCCGGCGGAGAAUCUGCUGAGGCCCGAGGAUGGCGGGAAGUGGAGGGGAGCGGCGGCGGGGGAGAAACAGCUGAGCGUGGUGCUGGAGGUGGGACUGGGAGGG
Long non-coding RNA from Passer montanus (Eurasian tree sparrow), 772 nucleotides. RefSeq lists it as uncharacterized. The record is from RefSeq and is a predicted model, not a curated record. Lineage: Eukaryota; Metazoa; Chordata; Aves; Passeriformes; Passeridae. The transcript has 3 exons.